UUAUCAGACUUGUUGCAAGGUUAUUCUAACAAGUCUGAUACAGUCAUGAUAUAACAAGAAUGUUACAAGGUUGUAACAAUAUUGUUGUACCAUGACUGUAUCGGACGUGUUGGAACAACCUUGCAACAAGUCUGAUAA
This is a non-coding RNA of Paramuricea clavata, 138 nucleotides long. The record is from the annotation of a GenBank genome assembly. Lineage: Eukaryota; Metazoa; Cnidaria; Anthozoa; Malacalcyonacea; Plexauridae.